GGAUCAACAAAGUGAGCUUUCUCAAUGUCAUGUAUCUAAGCUAGCCAAGAAACUGAGGGUGAAGGAAGAAGAGGUAAAAUUGAAGCCUGUUAUUGCAUUCGAUUGUGAUUAAACAUUUGGUGGCUACUGCAAUAUCUUUAGCAUCCCCUGUGGAGCAAAGCAAGGUAGCAACUAGUUGUUGAUUUGGAGCAAGCGGGUUGUUUGCACGAAGAUAUCAGAUAGUGUAUUUUAUUUUGGGAGUGUUGAUUGUGUUGUUCCUAUUGUGCUAUAAUUAUUGAUAAUGAACUUAGUCA
This is a long non-coding RNA of Quercus lobata, 293 nucleotides long. RefSeq lists it as uncharacterized. NCBI's taxonomy places the organism in Eukaryota, Viridiplantae, Streptophyta, Magnoliopsida, Fagales, Fagaceae. The transcript has 4 exons. The record is from RefSeq and is a predicted model, not a curated record.